UACGUAGGGUGCAAGCGUUGUCCGGAAUUAUUGGGCGUAAAGAGCUCGUAGGCGGUCUGUCGCGUCGAUCGUGAAAACCUGGGGCUCAACCCCGGGCCUGCAGCCGAUACGGGCAAGCUAGAAUUCGGUAGGGGAGACGUGGAAUUCCUGGUGUAGCGGUGAAAUGCGCAGAUAUCAGGAGGAACACCGGUGGCGAAGGCGGGUCUCUGGGCCGAUAUCGACGCUGAGGAGCGAAAGCGUGGGGAGCGAACAGGG
This 255-nucleotide ribosomal RNA is filed under the name uncultured bacterium. RNAcentral describes it as "partial 16S ribosomal RNA". It matches the Rfam family "Bacterial small subunit ribosomal RNA", at positions 524 to 777 of the family's 1533-position model. The record is from RNAcentral.